This 292-nucleotide ribosomal RNA is filed under the name uncultured bacterium. RNAcentral describes it as "partial 16S ribosomal RNA". It matches the Rfam family "Bacterial small subunit ribosomal RNA", at positions 505 to 796 of the family's 1533-position model. The record is from RNAcentral.
GUGCCAGCCGCCGCGGUAAUACGUAGGGACCAAGCGUUGUUCGGAUUUACUGGGCGUAAAGGGCGCGUAGGCGGCGCGGUAAGUCACUUGUGAAAUCUCUGAGCUUAACUCAGAACGGCCAAGUGAUACUGCAGUGCUAGAGUGUGGAAGGGGCAAUCGGAAUUCUUGGUGUAGCGGUGAAAUGCGUAGAUAUCAAGAGGAACACCUGAGGUGAAGACGGGUUGCUGGGCCAACACUGACGCUGAGGCGCGAAAGCCAGGGGAGCAAACGGGAUUAGAAACCCCCGUAGUCC